GCAUAACGCGAAGAACCUUACCAGGUCUUGACAUCCCGUUGACCACUGUAGAGAUAUAGUUUCCCUCGGGUCGGACGUAGCAGUGGUGCAUGUUGUCGUCAGCUCGUGUCGUGAGAUGUUGGGUUUAAGGUACCCGCCAACGAAGCGCAACCCUUACGUAUCUUAGUUUGUCCACUCAUUUAGUUUGGGCGACUCUAAGGACGACUGCCGGGUCGACAAAACCGGAACGGGAAGGUAGGGGAGUGACGUCAAAAUACAUCAUGCCCCUUACUGACCUGGGCGUACACACGUGCUACAAUGGACGAUACAAACGGUUAGCCAACUCGCGAGAGGGAGCUAAUCCGAUAAAAGUCGUUCUCAGUUCGGAUUGUAGGCUGCAACUCGCCUACAUGAAGCCGGAAUCGCUAGUAAUCGCGGAUCAGCAUGCCGCGGUGAAUACGUUCCC
This 445-nucleotide ribosomal RNA is filed under the name uncultured bacterium. Its description in RNAcentral is "bacterial SSU rRNA". It matches the Rfam family "Bacterial small subunit ribosomal RNA", at positions 954 to 1375 of the family's 1533-position model. The record is from RNAcentral.